CUGCAGUCGAGCGGACAGAUGGGAGCUUGCUCCCUGAUGUUAGCGGCGGACGGGUGAGUAACACGUGGGUAACCUGCCUGUAAGACUGGGAUAACUCCGGGAAACCGGGGCUAAUACCGGAUGCUUGAUUGAACCGCAUGGUUCAAUUAUAAAAGGUGGCUUUUACCUACCACUUACAGAUGGACCCGCGGCGCAUUACCUAGUUGGUGAGGUAACGGCUCACCAAGGCAACGAUGCGUACCCAACCUGAAAGGGUGAUCGGCCACACUGGGACUGAAACACGGCCCAAACUCCUACGGGAGGCAGCAGUAGGGAAUCUUCCGCAAUGGACAAAAGUCUGACGGAGCAACGCCGCGUGAGUGAUGAAGGUUUUCGGAUCGUAAAACUCUGUUGUUAGGGAAAAACAAGUACCGUUCGAAUAGGGCGGUACCUUGACGGUACCUAACCAAAAAGCCACGGCUAACUACGUGCCACCAGCCGCGGUAAUACGUAGGUGGCAAGCGUUGUCCGGAAUUAUUGGGCGUAAAGCGCGCGCAGGCGGUUUCUUAAGUCUGAUGUGAAAGCCCCCGGCUCAACCGGGGAGGGUCAUUGGAAACUGGGGAACUUGAUUGCAAAAAAGGAGAGUGGAAUUCCACGUGUAGCGGUGAAAUGCGUAAAGAUGUGGAGGAACACCAGUGGCGAAGGCGACUCUCUGGUCUGUAACUGACGCUGAGGCGCGAAAGCGUGGGGAGCGAACAGGAUUAGAUACCCUGGUAGUCCACGCCGUAAACGAUGAGUGCUAAGU
This 784-nucleotide ribosomal RNA is filed under the name Bacillus sonorensis. Its description in RNAcentral is "bacterial SSU rRNA". It matches the Rfam family "Bacterial small subunit ribosomal RNA", at positions 55 to 821 of the family's 1533-position model. The record is from RNAcentral. Lineage: Bacteria; Bacillati; Bacillota; Bacilli; Caryophanales; Bacillaceae.